AAAACGGAGAGUUUGAUCCUGGCUCAGGAUGAACGCUGGCGGUAUGCUUAACACAUGCAAGUCGAACGGGAUCUUAGGAUCUAGUGGCGGACGGGUGAGUAACGC
Molecule: ribosomal RNA, 105 nt
Filed under: Sphaerospermopsis sp. FACHB-1194
Lineage: Bacteria; Bacillati; Cyanobacteriota; Cyanophyceae; Nostocales; Aphanizomenonaceae
Description: partial 16S ribosomal RNA
Rfam family: Bacterial small subunit ribosomal RNA
Source: RNAcentral